GAAACCCGCCUGGGUCAUUUUCUCCACUUCCUCUUGCGCCGCUGUGGCUUUAGCGGCGCCCAUCCGUCGCUUCUUCUGCGCGAUCGGUUUGGCCUCCUUGAAGAUGGCCAUCUUGUGGGUCAUGACGGAUGGGUGAAUGCCCGACAUAUCCGACGUCGUCCAGGCAAACAAGUCACAGUUCUUCCACAGCAAAUCUCUCAGUUCCUUUUCAACCCUCGG
This 219-nucleotide long non-coding RNA is filed under the name Vigna radiata. Its description in RNAcentral is "long non-coding RNA (VRAD_LNC000416)". Lineage: Eukaryota; Viridiplantae; Streptophyta; Magnoliopsida; Fabales; Fabaceae. The record is from RNAcentral.